AUGGUAUUUAGUUUAAAGUAAAAUAAAUGAUUUCGACUCAUUAGAUUGUGAUUAAGUUCAUAACUACCAA
RNAcentral lists this transfer RNA (70 nucleotides) under Cervus albirostris (white-lipped deer). Its description in RNAcentral is "Przewalskium albirostris (white-lipped deer) tRNA-Arg". It matches the Rfam family "tRNA". From Rfam's summary of the family: Transfer RNA (tRNA) molecules are approximately 80 nucleotides in length. Their secondary structure includes four short double-helical elements and three loops (D, anti-codon, and T loops). Lineage: Eukaryota; Metazoa; Chordata; Mammalia; Artiodactyla; Cervidae. The record is from RNAcentral.